RNAcentral lists this ribosomal RNA (418 nucleotides) under uncultured Glomeromycotina. RNAcentral describes it as "SSU rRNA". It matches the Rfam family "Eukaryotic small subunit ribosomal RNA", at positions 677 to 1092 of the family's 1831-position model. Lineage: Eukaryota; Fungi; Glomeromycota. The record is from RNAcentral.
UGUACUAGCUUGCUGAUUCCUCCUUCUUGUAGAACCGUAAUGCCAUUAAUUUGGUGUUGCGGGGAAACAGGACUGUUACUUUGAAAAAAUUAGAGUGUUUAAAGCAGGCUAGCGCCUGAAUACAUUAGCAUGGAAUAAUGAAAUAGGACGUUCGAACCUACUUUGUUGGUUUCUAGGAUUGACGUAAUGAUUAAUAGGGAUAGUUGGGGGCAUUAGUAUUCAAUUGUCAGAGGUGAAAUUCUUGGAUUUAUUGAAGACUGACUACUGCGAAAGCAUUUGCCAAGGAUGUUUUCAUUAAUCAAGAACGAAAGUUAGGGGAUCGAAGACGAUCAGAUACCGUCGUAGUCUUAACCAUAAACUAUGCCGACUAGGGAUCGGAUGAUGUUAAUUUUUUAAUGACUCAUUCGCGCGCCUUACG